This 464-nucleotide ribosomal RNA is filed under the name Streptococcus sanguinis. Its description in RNAcentral is "bacterial SSU rRNA". It matches the Rfam family "Bacterial small subunit ribosomal RNA", at positions 28 to 474 of the family's 1533-position model. Lineage: Bacteria; Bacillati; Bacillota; Bacilli; Lactobacillales; Streptococcaceae. The record is from RNAcentral.
GACGAACGCUGGCGGCGUGCCUAAUACAUGCAAGUAGAACGCUGAAGAGAGGAGCUUGCUCUUCUUGGAUGAGUUGCGAACGGGUGAGUAACGCGUAGGUAACCUGCCUGGUAGCGGGGGAUAACUAUUGGAAACGAUAGCUAAUACCGCAUGACAUUGAUUAUCGCAUGAUAAUUGAUUGAAAGAUGCAAUUGCAUCACUACCAGAUGGACCUGCGUUGUAUUAGCUAGUUGGUGGGGUAACGGCUCACCAAGGCGACGAUACAUAGCCGACCUGAGAGGGUGAUCGGCCACACUGGGACUGAGACACGGCCCAGACUCCUACGGGAGGCAGCAGUAGGGAAUCUUCGGCAAUGGGGGGAACCCUGACCGAGCAACGCCGCGUGAGUGAAGAAGGUUUUCGGAUCGUAAAGCUCUGUUGUAAGAGAAGAACGGGUGUGAGAGUGGAAAGUUCACACUGUGACG